GCAGCCUCGCUAAAGGGCACAUUGUUCUGCACUGAGAGGCCUCUGUGCCAUGUGUUUUGAUACACUUUAAAGUUCAUAGAAUCAGGGAGUCUGGAUUCAGAAGGGGUCUGAGAAGGUCAUUCAAAUCUGUCUUUCCUCUUCCUAUUUUAUCUUUAUACAGACAAACACAUUCAAGUCAACAAGUCAUUUUAAACAGUUACCCUGUCUAGAGUGCCUGGGACAAGAAUAAGCGAAAGGAGCCAUGAACCUAAGCCUUUGCCUGGAGUGGGCAGCAAAGCCUUUUCAGAAAAGGUAGGAGGUAAAGUGGAAAGUAUUGUUUAGACUGGAUCUGGGCAACUGUGUCAGGAGAGCAUGUGAGGCAGAGGAAAUUAGAUGCAAGAAUGUGCAGAGGCGGGAAGAACAAAGCCGGCCAGUGAGACAUCACAUCGGUGUGCAAGCUGGAUCUGAUAGAAAAUUCACAGAAAGAGGAGGCGGUAAGAAUUACCUGCUCAGCAUCUCCACUUGCCUGGCCCUCUCACUUCUCCAUGGAAGAAGCUGCAGCAGAGAUAAUACGGUGAGUUGUCACCAGACCCUGUAAGUACUGUAUUUAGACUGCUGGACCUACCACCCUCCCAGCACAUCCUCAAAUUUGUCUCAUCAGUGGGUACAUCUUGUCUAGAUAGUCUCUGUCUUGGUGGGAGUGAGAACCACUUGAGGAAUGUGUUAAAAAUAUA
This 713-nucleotide long non-coding RNA is filed under the name Capra hircus (goat). RNAcentral's name for it is "lncRNA (ENSCHIG00010003804.1)". Lineage: Eukaryota; Metazoa; Chordata; Mammalia; Artiodactyla; Bovidae. The record is from RNAcentral.